GAUGAAGAACGUAGCGAAAUGCGAUAAGUAAUGUGAAUUGCAGAAUUCAGUGAAUCAUUGAAUCUUUGAACGCACCUUGCGCUCCUUGGUAUUCCGAGGAGCAUGCCUGUUUGAGUGUCAUUAAUAUAUCAACCUUCUCUUUUUUGAGUUGUUUGGAUGUGGGGGUUUGCUGGCCUCUUAAAUGAUUCAGCUCCCCUGAAAUGCAUUAGCAGAACAACCUGUUCAUUGGCGUGAUAAUUAUCUAUGCUAUUGAAUGUGAGGGCAGUUCAGCUUUCUAACCGUCCUUGGACAAUUCAUCAUUAAUGUGACCUCAAAUCAGGUAGGACUACCCGCUGAACUUAAGCAUAUCAAUAAGCGGAGGA
This 362-nucleotide unclassified non-coding RNA is filed under the name soil metagenome. RNAcentral describes it as "partial contains 5.8S ribosomal RNA, internal transcribed spacer 2, and large subunit ribosomal RNA". The stretch from base 1 to 120 matches the Rfam family "5.8S ribosomal RNA", at positions 35 to 154 of the family's 154-position model. The record is from RNAcentral.